This 413-nucleotide ribosomal RNA is filed under the name uncultured bacterium. RNAcentral describes it as "bacterial SSU rRNA". It matches the Rfam family "Bacterial small subunit ribosomal RNA", at positions 505 to 916 of the family's 1533-position model. The record is from RNAcentral.
GUGUCAGCAGCCGCGGUAAGACGUAGGAUGCGAGCGUUGUUCGGAUUUAUUGGGCGUAAAGCGUACGUAGGCGGUUCGGCAAGUGGGAGGUUAAAGACCAGGGCUCAACCCUGGGAGUGCCCCCCAAACUGCGGGACUAGAGGUUCAUAGGGGAAAGUGGAAUUCCGAGUGUAGCGGUGAAAUGCGUAGAUAUUCGGAGGAACGCCAGUGGCGAAAGCGACUUUCUGGGUGACACCUGACGCUGAGGUACGAAAGCAUGGGGAGCAAACAGGAUUAGAUACCCUGGUAGUCCAUGCCGUAAACGAUGGAUACUAGGUGCUGGGGGUAUCGACCCCCUCAGUGCCGUAGCUAACGCAUUAAGCACCCCGCCUGGGGAGUACGGCCGCAAGGCUAAAACUCAAAGGAAUUGACGG